RNAcentral lists this ribosomal RNA (230 nucleotides) under uncultured bacterium. RNAcentral's name for it is "partial 16S ribosomal RNA". It matches the Rfam family "Bacterial small subunit ribosomal RNA", at positions 568 to 797 of the family's 1533-position model. The record is from RNAcentral.
CGUGUAGGCGGUUUAAUAAGUCAGAUGUAAAAGCCCCCGGCUCAACCGGGGAUGGUCAUUUGAAACUGUUAGGCUUGAGUGUGAGAGAGGGUAGUGGAAUUCCCAGUGUAGCGGUGAAAUGCGUAGAUAUUGGGAAGAACACCAGUAGCGAAGGCGGCUACCUGGCUCACAACUGACGCUAAGGCGCGAAAGCGUGGGGAGCAAACAGGAUUAGAUACCCUGGUAGUCCC